Molecule: non-coding RNA, 30 nt
Filed under: Mus musculus (house mouse)
Lineage: Eukaryota; Metazoa; Chordata; Mammalia; Rodentia; Muridae
Source: RNAcentral
UCCUCCCUUUGCUGAAAAGUACUCCUCAUC